GUGCAUCAACAGCCUGCCAUCUACCACCCCCUCAUCAACCUCCAAGGCAAGCUCAGUCAUCUCACAGGAAGCAAGGUGCCCCAGGAAACACAGACGGCUCACAGCGAGGACCCACAUGAGGUGUUAUUGAGCAAGACGGGAAGGCAACUUUCUGGAUAAUUGAACGUGCUAGUGAACAGAAUGUUGCCAGAGAUACUCCAGGUGCACACUCAGAUGUAUAUGUCAUAUGCUCCCUGAGUGAUUAGGUGUUCCAGGCUCUGAGGGUAGGAAAAUGAAGACAACAGUCUCUGUCUCAGGGAAGCUCCAGGUCCACAGGGGAAAAAGGAAGUCAACGCCAAGUGGUACUGCAGAGUGGCAAACACCACAGCACAAAGUGCUCCAGAAACACUCAGCAGGGGCCAGCCAUACGGUGGAAGGCAGGCAAUGGCCCACUCCACAGACCCUCACAAAACACACAAGGCUUGGAUGAUGAAGGGGAGAUGGAAAGGCUUUGUAGUUUUUCAGGGCAAUUGCAAUGAAUGGCAAUUAUCAUGGCAA
Molecule: non-coding RNA, 537 nt
Filed under: Pongo abelii (Sumatran orangutan)
Lineage: Eukaryota; Metazoa; Chordata; Mammalia; Primates; Hominidae
Source: RNAcentral